This 830-nucleotide ribosomal RNA is filed under the name Vibrio parahaemolyticus. RNAcentral describes it as "partial 23S ribosomal RNA". It matches the Rfam family "Bacterial large subunit ribosomal RNA", at positions 349 to 1188 of the family's 2925-position model. The record is from RNAcentral. Lineage: Bacteria; Pseudomonadati; Pseudomonadota; Gammaproteobacteria; Vibrionales; Vibrionaceae.
GUCCGACGAUACAGGGUGAUAGUCCCGUAGUUGACGACGUGUGUUCAGUGAAAUCGAGUAGGGCGGGACACGUGAUAUCCUGUCUGAAUAUGGGGGGACCAUCCUCCAAGGCUAAAUACUACUGACUGACCGAUAGUGAACCAGUACCGUGAGGGAAAGGCGAAAAGAACCCCUGUGAGGGGAGUGAAAUAGAACCUGAAACCGUGUACGUACAAGCAGUAGGAGCAGGCUUUGUCCUGUGACUGCGUACCUUUUGUAUAAUGGGUCAGCGACUUAUAUUCAGUGGCAAGGUUAACCAUCUAGGGGAGCCGUAGGGAAACCGAGUCUUAACUGGGCGUUCAGUCUCUGGAUAUAGACCCGAAACCAGGUGAUCUAGCCAUGGGCAGGUUGAAGGUUGAGUAACAUCAACUGGAGGACCGAACCGACUAAUGUUGAAAAAUUAGCGGAUGACUUGUGGCUAGGGGUGAAAGGCCAAUCAAACCUGGAGAUAGCUGGUUCUCCCCGAAAGCUAUUUAGGUAGCGCCUCGGACGAAUACUACUGGGGGUAGAGCACUGUUAAGGCUAGGGGGUCAUCCCGACUUACCAACCCUUUGCAAACUCCGAAUACCAGUAAGUACUAUCCGGGAGACACACGGCGGGUGCUAACGUCCGUCGUGGAGAGGGAAACAACCCAGACCGCCAGCUAAGGUCCCAAAUUACUACUAAGUGGGAAACGAUGUGGGAAGGCUCAGACAGCCAGGAUGUUGGCUUAGAAGCAGCCAUCAUUUAAAGAAAGCGUAAUAGCUCACUGGUCGAGUCGGCCUGCGCGGAAGAUGUAACGGGGCUAAGUA